GCCAAGCCCUGGUCUUCUCUUUGGGCCUGGUCUUGUUUUCCACACAGAUGCCUGGACGGAGCCAUGUGUCCUGGCCGUAUUGCUGGCCCACUGGGCAGAGUGCUCAGUCCCAUCACCGAAGCGGCAGCGCCUGCAGCCCUGCCUUCAUGGGACACAGCUCCCGCCUGCUCCUUGCUAGUGCCGACUAAAGCACAGGUAUUUAAAGAUGGCUCACACCGAGUGCUGAGAUGUGCAGUUGCAGGCUCCUGGGUGUGCAGUUUUGCCCCAGUAACUAAGAGAAGCUGAUGACAUCUGGAGUGGCACCCACUAUGGCUGAGGUGAAUGGAGAGAAUUCCAGGAACCAAGAGGAAGGCCAAGUCACAGAUAGAAGAAGCCUAAAUUCCUGAAUGACCAUGUGGAGCAGAGAAUCCUCUCCAAUCCACAUAUGACUGCGUUUAUGAGAUGGAGACAUUUUAUAACACCCUCAGUCACUCUGAAGACAAGGAAUAGGAAGAAACAGACUUGGAGUAGAACACACUGCCAACCAAGUGUCUCCUUUUCCAUUUGGCAACCAGGAACUUGUGGCCAGAGGUGGGAGGCACCUGGGCAUCAGCUUCCACCAAGAAUAACAUAAAAGACGUUACUGUUUCAGCAAAUAAAUUAACAUCAUCAUGAAUUUGUGAUUCAUUAUUAUGAAUCACAAAUGUUGCAAAUUCGUGACCAUAUUCAGAGAUUGAGUGUCUCAGAGGGAAUAUUGCAGAAAUCGCAGCCAGGCUGUGCAAAACUGUGGGAUGACUGAGCAGUGGACUUGCACUCUAAAACAGCCCUUCUCCCUUCCUCUGCCCCUGCUCUUUUCCCCAGCCCCUGCUCCCUUCCCCAGCCCCUGCUCCCUUCCCCAGCCCCCGCUCAGGUUGGAUUUCCAUUGACACUUCAAGCCUGGAUGUAAUAAAUCAACUGCUGGU
This is a long non-coding RNA of Pan troglodytes (chimpanzee), 941 nucleotides long. RefSeq lists it as uncharacterized. The transcript has 5 exons. The record is from RefSeq and is a predicted model, not a curated record. Lineage: Eukaryota; Metazoa; Chordata; Mammalia; Primates; Hominidae.